UACAGAGGUCCCAAGCGUUGUUCGGAUUCAUUGGGCGUAAAGGGUGCGUAGGCGGCGCGGUAAGUCGGGUGUGAAAUCUCGGGGCUUAACUCCGAAACUGCAUUCGAUACUGCCGUGCUUGAGGACUGGAGAGGAGACUGGAAUUUACGGUGUAGCGGUGAAAUGCGUAGAUAUCUGGAGGAACACCGGUGGCGAAGGCGACAUCCUGGACCAACACUGACGCUGAGUGAGCGAAAGCCAGGGGAGCAAACGGG
RNAcentral lists this ribosomal RNA (254 nucleotides) under uncultured bacterium. RNAcentral's name for it is "partial 16S ribosomal RNA". It matches the Rfam family "Bacterial small subunit ribosomal RNA", at positions 524 to 776 of the family's 1533-position model. The record is from RNAcentral.